This 253-nucleotide ribosomal RNA is filed under the name uncultured bacterium. RNAcentral describes it as "partial 16S ribosomal RNA". It matches the Rfam family "Bacterial small subunit ribosomal RNA", at positions 524 to 776 of the family's 1533-position model. The record is from RNAcentral.
UACGUAGGGUGCAAGCGUUAAUCGGAAUUACUGGGCGUAAAGCGUGCGCAGGCGGUUUUGUGAGUCUGACGUGAAAUCCCCGGGCUCAACCUGGGAAUUGCGUUGGAGACUGCAAGGCUAGAAUCUGGCAGAGGGGGGUAGAAUUCCACGUGUAGCAGUGAAAUGCGUAGAGAUGUGGAGGAACACCGAUGGCGAAGGCAGCCCCCUGGGUCAAGAUUGACGCUCAUGCACGAAAGCGUGGGGAGCAAACAGG